RNAcentral lists this ribosomal RNA (386 nucleotides) under uncultured bacterium. RNAcentral's name for it is "bacterial SSU rRNA". It matches the Rfam family "Bacterial small subunit ribosomal RNA", at positions 29 to 417 of the family's 1533-position model. The record is from RNAcentral.
ACGAACGCUGGCGGCGUGCUUAACACAUGCAAGUCGAGCGGUAAGGCCCUUUCGGGGGUACACGAGCGGCGAACGGGUGAGUAACACGUGGGUGACCUGCCUUUAGCUCUGGGAUAAGCCUGGGAAACUGGGUCUAAUACCGGAUACGACUCCGCGGUGCAUGCUGUGGGGUGGAAAGCCUUGUGCGGCUGGAGAUGGGCCCGCGGCCUAUCAGCUUGUUGGUGGGGUGAUGGCCACCAAGGCGACGACGGGUAGCCGGCCUGAGAGGGCGACCGGCCACACUGGGACUGAGACACGGCCCAGACUCCUACGGGAGGCAGCAGUGGGGAAUCUUGCGCAAUGGGCGAAAGCCUGACGCAGCGACGCCGCGUGAGGGAUGACGGCCU